RNAcentral lists this unclassified non-coding RNA (1690 nucleotides) under Pomacea canaliculata. RNAcentral's name for it is "popeye domain-containing protein 3-like, transcript variant X4". Lineage: Eukaryota; Metazoa; Mollusca; Gastropoda; Architaenioglossa; Ampullariidae. The record is from RNAcentral.
CUCUAAGACGCUCAUCCUGUCGGCAGACGGCGAGAUGGCGACCCAAACCUGUCCUGCAUCAAACAAGACUUGACAGUGAGACCUCGCUGAUCUGGACCGUCGUAUCCGCAAUUUUGGACAAGGAUGUUCGCACAGCAGAGCAUAUUUCAGUACCUGGGGCAGAACGAUUCUGGCGCCUCGUUCUGGGACCUCAGCUUUUCUGGCAUCAACACCUCCAACAUGGUGAGCAGGGAGCGUCCAGUCGGUUGCCGUUCUUGGCAGCCGGCCAAUCACGUGCUGUAUCAGCUGGCCUGCACUGCGAUCGCCAUGGGACUCCUCGCCAUCGACACUCCUUACGGAGCUCUUCUUCUGCACUCCCUCUUUUUCCUCGGGUACCUGCUGAUGUCCAUCUGGUCCUGGGUCAUCUUGUGUGCUCCAGACUUCUUUUCAUGGAACUUCGCUUUCCUGCUGCUCAACGGCGUGCAGACAAUGUCGCUGAUCUACAGCAUCCGACCUGUCCGCUUCUGCCAGGAACUGGAGGAUGUGUAUGUUCACCUCUUUCAGCCGCUCAGAGUUCCAAGGUCCUUGUACAAACGACUGGUUGGGGCAGAGUAUUGCACUCUGAUGACGCUGAAUGAAGGAGAAUUCUACGCCACACAGUCCAUCACCAAGACAGACAAACUGGGUCUCCUCAUCUCUGGAAGCAUGAACGCUUACAGCAACAGAACACUUCUGCACACCAUCAAGGCCAAACAGUUCAUUGAUUCACCGGAGUUCGAAUCCAGCAACAGCGGGGAGGAGAAAUUCCAGGUAUCAAUAGUUGCCGGUGGCGUGUGUCGCUACAUCUUCUGGCCGCGACAGAGUCUGGAGUACCUGCUGGUUCAGGAGCCUUACCUGGCUAAUGUUCUCAACAUCGUCCUUGGCAGGGAUAUUACCAACAAGCUGUACGCCUUAAACGAGAGGGUCUCUGCUCAAGAAGGGUCAAGACUGGACAUUCGUCUGCCGAGUGUGUCGCCAGGCUUGCGGACCAGACGUGACAUUCGCAAAGCAGUGGUGGGAGUGCCCAAUCCCUCCACCGAUGAGGUGCCGGACGAGGCCGCCACCACGGCAGCCAUGGUGGGCACGGUUAUCGGAGAUGCAACCGUUGACGAGGACAGUGAUGACUACGACGGGUACGCGGUGUGAAUUAAACCAGCCUCACGACACAGAGAGACCAGGGUACAGACAUGCUCAGUGACCUUUGCCAGGUCUUCCAUCCGUUAAUAUCCGGCUGAAUCCAGACGUGGCUCGCGAGAGCUAAGAAGUCAUGAUGAUUGUCAACAACUCGCUGGUCUUGGCGACAGCCACGACUCAACAGUCGAACACAGCAGGUGAAAACUCUGGUCGCACCCCAUUUCUACAGAUCACAUCUCCUGCCUUCAACACUUUGAUCAUCAACACCACCCGACAGGUAUUUCAAGCUGCAACACUAUUCGAUGCCAGCGGUUCUGAAGUGGAUGGCCAGGGAGGAGGAGACUUUGGCGUGGAAGGAGUGGUUGGAGGGGAGACAGUGCGCUCGGCAGGAGGUGCCGCGGGGACGGAGAGCGAGCAGCUGGGCUCGUGUCACGACUGGCAGGACGCGCAGCACACUCUGUUCCAGCUGGCCAACCUGUGCAUCGCCGUGUCCCUCCUGACCCCAGCCACUUCCGCUUCCACCUGCUCUUCCUGCGCU